GGUGAGCGAUCCAGGGAUCAGGAUGGAUCGAUUAACCGCGUCUGAUCGAGGGGAAAUGGAAGUCUGCAGGCGGAGGAUAAGAGAUUCAGCGAUGAAUGUGGAACUUUGGUUUUGUCUGUGAGGCAACGUUUUAGGGAAAUGUCUUUAUGAACGUCAAAUUAUAGUGACAAAGAAAACGCAGAUUUCGUUCAAAUUUAAAUAUAUAUAUAUUUGAUCCGAUGAGAAGCUACAGACAGUACAGCGAACAGACCGAAAACACCAACAACCUUCACCCCAGAGCUGUGUCUCCUCAGCCUGUGACUGCUGCACUACAGCAUGUAGACAGCAGUGCAUUCUCCUGCAGCUUUGCAAAUGAAAAUGGAGGACGUGUCUCUGUCCAGUAUGGACAACAGUAAGAUGGAGGGCAUUGCUCAAGAGAUCCUGUCUGACCUGGUGGAAGACGCCUGUUUGGGUCUUUGUUUUGAGGUGCACAGGGCCGUCAAACAAGGAUACUUUUUCUUGGAUGAUACAGACCAGGAUAGUAUGAAGGACUUUGAAAUUGUGGACCAGCCUGGAGUAGACAUUUUUGGGCAAGUGUACAACCAGUGGAAAAACAAAGAGUGUGUGUGUCCCAACUGCAGCCGCAGCAUUGCUGCGUCUCGCUUUGCACCACACCUGGAGAAAUGCCUCGGGAUGGGCCGCAACAGCAGUCGCAUCGCCAACCGCAGAAUUGCAAGCGGCAAUAACACAAACAAAUCAGAGAGCGAUCAAGAGGACAAUGAUGAUGUAAACGACAAUGAUUGGUCUUAUGGCGCUGAAAAGAAAGCCAAGAAGAGAAAGUCAGAUAAGGUAUUUUUACAUUCUUUGAAACAACCUGUACCUGUGAAUCCGAAUUCACCAAGAAGAUCCAAAUCGAUGAAACAUAAAAAUGGUAAUUAUGAGCUGUACCUUAUAACACAAACAGACUGUGGGAUUUGAAAAGAAAAGCGUCCAUUGUAACAUCAUCUACAAAGUGCAAUUAGCAUGUUUAAAGUACGCCGUAAAACCCGGAAAUUUAUGUCUAAUUGAAUGAAUCAAAUAAAUCAAGAUAUGUCCCCAAAUGAAGAUCGUUUGAAGACAUAACAUUAUUUUGGCUGACGACUUUAUCCACUGGAAUAGACAAAAGUUGCUUUAAAAGUCACUAUUAUGUAAAAUGAUUAAAUGUAAGCCUACAUCUGUCAAUUUUGCAUCAAGUACUGGUCAUUCACAAAGGACGGAUUUUCGUGUUGUGUCUUUGUAUUAUAUGCAUAUUUCUCAUUUAUUUAUCCAUGUACAUGAAGCCUGAUGCCUCUGGCUGAUACGUGUCGCUGACGAGAGCCGCAAUUUUCUCAGAUGCUUUGCCGGUUCCUAAGCACCGCAUGGAGAACCAAGAAAGCUCCUGUGUGUUGCUAAGAGACGAGACAUUUUCUCAAUAAUGCUGUUGGAAGCAGAAGUCACUUGAUCGCAGCAUUGCGUGAGCUGAAUUAUGCUGAUCAACGGAGGAGACAUGGACUAAUUCUUCAGACAUACAGUUUACAUUUUUUUUUCUUAUUUGUUACUUCUUUUUUUUCUUCAGGAAUAUUUGCACAUAGCUUGUCUCUUUAAAACAACACGUUUAGGAUAUAGGAACUUGCGUAAUUCUCUCAGGGAGGAAGUUCAAACUCGUCAUCCUAUCAGCAGACAGAAACAACUGAGCAUAGAGUCACAGAUGCUGGGCCUCUCCCAUAACAAAGAGACAGGAUUCUUUCUAAAAUAAAAAUUCUAUCCAUAUACAAUGUAUAAUUAUACCUUCUCAUAUCUGUGCCCUAUUAUUCUAGGGGGGUUGAAGCAAUUAAAAUAAAUUGUGCAAGGUUAUUAGCAUGCACAUCCAGAUUAGUAAUCAAUGUCAACAAUUUCCUAUCAGGUUACUUAUUGUACUGUUUGAUAUUAUUGAAUUGUAUUGAAAAUCAUGAUCUAGUAAAGUAUAUUCUUUUCUCUGUAGUUCCAAUAGCCAAAGUGUGGUACAAUUGUACUGUAUGUUACUCUAGUCCUCUAGCACAUCAUCAUCAUACUACAUUUUUUCCAUUGGUAAAUUAUUGGUUACAGAGCGAACAGAGGUUGUUAGUCUCCAAAAAAAAAGAUCUAAUCAUUGCUUGAGAGUAUCUUUAUGAGUGUAAUUGUUUUCUUUAUGUAUUUCUUAUGUAUUAGAUGUUUACAGUGGAAUGUGUCCAUUGCGGUCUCACAUUGUGUGUAACUGUGUACAUAUUUGACUAGAUAAAAAAUGCUGCUAUCCUCACCACGAGUCAUUGGCUUAUGGGCAUGUAAUAAAAGAUCUCAGAACAUGCUUCAUGUGUGCUAUACAAAAUGUA
Triplophysa dalaica is the source of this 2345-nucleotide RNA transcript. It is a transcript of the gene named ataxin 7 like 3b, with no coding region annotated. The record is from RefSeq and is a predicted model, not a curated record. Lineage: Eukaryota; Metazoa; Chordata; Actinopteri; Cypriniformes; Nemacheilidae. The transcript is spliced from 8 exons.